Molecule: transfer RNA, 73 nt
Filed under: Stegodyphus mimosarum
Lineage: Eukaryota; Metazoa; Arthropoda; Arachnida; Araneae; Eresidae
Rfam family: tRNA
About the family: Transfer RNA (tRNA) molecules are approximately 80 nucleotides in length. Their secondary structure includes four short double-helical elements and three loops (D, anti-codon, and T loops).
Source: Rfam by way of RNAcentral
GCCUUUGUGGCGUAGCGGUCAGCUCACUCGUUGCGUAUUCGAGAUGUCCGUGGUUCAAAUCCCGGCGAGGGCA